ACGUUCCACUUAUUCUAUUAUAUGCCUGAAUCACAAUAGUUCAUAUGUAAAUAAAGUGCCUAACAAAGGAAAUGUCCGAAUCAAAGAAACGCAAAUGUAUACCACACUAUCCUGUAUUGCUUCAAUACCAUGAAGGAACUGCUUGGAUACUGGUGACCAUAAUUGUGCAACCAAUAACAGGAAACUAGUACCUGAAAACAUAAAACAAAAACAGCAGCAACUAUUCUAUAAUAUACUAGAUUAUGGAGUGUGCGUCCGAGCGAGAACUACUCUAGUUUAUUACUUUAGAAAUAUUUAUCAAAAGUAUAGGUGGAGGGUU
Molecule: long non-coding RNA, 319 nt
Filed under: Mytilus galloprovincialis (Mediterranean mussel)
Lineage: Eukaryota; Metazoa; Mollusca; Bivalvia; Mytilida; Mytilidae
Source: RNAcentral